Molecule: unclassified non-coding RNA, 165 nt
Filed under: uncultured Tetracladium
Lineage: Eukaryota; Fungi; Ascomycota
Description: sequence contains ITS1
Source: RNAcentral
CCGAGUUCAUGCCCUUACGGGUAGAUCUCCCACCCUUUGUAUACUAUACCUUUGUUGCUUUGGCGGGCCGCCUAGCUACUGGCUUCGGCUGGUAUGUGCCCGCCAGAGGACCCAAAACCCUGAUUACAUUAAAGAAUUCUUCUGAGUAACCGAUUAAAUAAAUCA